GCAGCUUAACUGUGGAACUGUCAGUGAUACUGGUUUUCUUGAAUAUAGUUGAGGUAGCCGGAAUGUGUAAUGUAGCGGUGAAAUGCUUAGAUAUUACACAGAACACCGAUUGCGAAGGCAGCUUACUAAACUAUGAUUGACGCUGAGGUACGAAAGCGUGGGGAGCGAACAGGAUUUAGAUACCCUGGUAGUCCACGCUGUAAACGAUGAUCACUCGUUGUUGGCGAUAUACUGUCAGCGACUGAGCGAAAGCAUUAAGUGAUCCACCUGGGGAGUACGACCGCAAGGUUGAAACUCAAAGGAAUUGACGGGGGCCCGCACAAGCGGAGGAACAUGUGGUUUAAUUCGAUGAUACGCGAGGAACCUUACCUGGGCUUAAAUGCAGAACGACGGACCGGGAAACUGGUCUUUCUUCGGACGGACUGCAAGGUGCUGCAUGGCUGUCGUCAGCUCGUGCCGUGAGGUGUCGGGUUAAGUCCCAUAACGAGCGCAACCCUCAUCAUUAGUUGCCAGCGGGUAAUGCCGGGGACUCUAAUGAAACUGCCGGUGUAAACCGAGAGGAAGGUGGGGAUGACGUCAAGUCAGCACGGCCCUUAUGUCCAGGGCUACACACGUGUUACAAUGGUCGGUACAAAGGGCAGCUACCUGGUGACAGGAUGCUAAUCUCGAAAACCGAUCUUAGUUCGGAUCGAAGUCUGCAACUCGACUUCGUGAAGCUGGAUUCGCUAGUAAUCGCGCAUCAGCCACGGCGCGGUGAUACGUUCCCGGGCNUUGUACACACCGCCCGUCAAGCCAU
Molecule: ribosomal RNA, 796 nt
Filed under: uncultured organism
Description: bacterial SSU rRNA
Rfam family: Bacterial small subunit ribosomal RNA
Source: RNAcentral